UACGUAGGCAGCGAGCGUUGUUCGGAAUUACUGGGCGUAAAGAGUGUGUAGGCGGUGCUCUAAGUUCGGUGUGAAAUCUCCCGGCUUAACUGGGAGGGUGCGCCGGAAACUGGAGUGCUCGAACGUGGGAGAGGAAAGCGGAAUUCCUGGUGUAGCGGUGAAAUGCGUAGAUAUCAGGAGGAACACCUGCGGUGUAGACGGCUUUCUGGACCAUUGCUGACGCUGAGACACGAAAGCGUGGGUAGCAAACAGG
RNAcentral lists this ribosomal RNA (253 nucleotides) under uncultured bacterium. Its description in RNAcentral is "partial 16S ribosomal RNA". It matches the Rfam family "Bacterial small subunit ribosomal RNA", at positions 524 to 776 of the family's 1533-position model. The record is from RNAcentral.